AAAAUGCGAUAAGUAAUGUGAAUUGCAGAAUUCAGUGAAUCAUCGAAUCUUUGAACGCACAUUGCGCCCGCCAGUAUUCUGGCGGGCAUGCCUGUUCGAGCGUCAUUUCAACCCUCAAGCCCCCGGGUUUGGUGUUGGGGAUCGGGCUGUGGUUCUACCGCGUCCCGGCCCCGAAAUCUAGUGGCGGUCUCGCUGCAGCCUCCAUUGCGUAGUAGCUAACACCUCGCAACUGGAACGCGGCGCGGCCAAGCCGUUAAACCCCCAACUUCUGAAUGUUGACCUCGGAUCAGGUAGGAAUACCCGCUGAACUUAAGC
This 315-nucleotide unclassified non-coding RNA is filed under the name plant metagenome. RNAcentral describes it as "partial contains 5.8S ribosomal RNA, internal transcribed spacer 2, and large subunit ribosomal RNA". The stretch from base 1 to 105 matches the Rfam family "5.8S ribosomal RNA", at positions 50 to 154 of the family's 154-position model. The record is from RNAcentral.